This 440-nucleotide ribosomal RNA is filed under the name uncultured bacterium. RNAcentral's name for it is "partial 16S ribosomal RNA". It matches the Rfam family "Bacterial small subunit ribosomal RNA", at positions 338 to 795 of the family's 1533-position model. The record is from RNAcentral.
CCUACGGGUGGCAGCAGUGGGGAAUAUUGCACAAUGGGGGAAACUCUGAUGCAGCGACGCCGCGUGAGGGAAGAAGUAAUUCGUGAUGUAAAGCUCUUUCAGUAGGGAAGAAAAUGACGGUACCUGAGUAAGAUGCCCCGGCUAACUAUGUGCCAGCAGCCGCGGUAAUACGUAGGGGGCCAGCGUUAUCCGGAUUUACUGGGUGUUAAGCGAGCGUAGACGGCAGUGCAAGUUCGGAGUGAAAUGCCGGGGCUCAACCCCGGGACUGCAGUGCAAACUGUUCUGCUUGAGUGCGGUGGAGGUAAGCGGAAUGCCUGGUGUAGCGGUGAAAUGCGUAGAUAUUAGGAGGAACACCAAUGGCGAAGGCAGCUUACUGGACUGUAACUGACGUUGAGGCUCGAAGGUGUGGGGAGCGAACAGGAUUAGAUACCCUGGUAGUC